GAGUUUAUUAGCAGCAUUGUUUUUGCACACGCGCUACUGCUAAGUAGCAGCAGCGCCUCCUUUUAAAAAGCGCUACUGGUACGCUUCUGUGUAUAAGGCUUUCCCUAGUAGUGUACCCAGGUCCGGGCCGCUUGCUGCGUAAAACCCAACUCCUGCUUGAUUUGUAUAGGGUGCUUACUGUAGGGUUAUUUCCUACAGUAAUCUAGCUGGUGAUUAAAGAGUCUAACUCCAAAAGGUCCAACCCCUAAAAAUGAGCCUUGGGCCUCCUUUUAUAGGCAAAGGGGUCACCAACAGUGUGCUCAUGGGGUGUAUAGUGAACAGGGUUCACCACUUAUCUUUCUACUGUGGUGUCAGGGGGCAGUAAAUGCCUUGUCUCCCCCUGACCUGCAACAAGGUGGC
Molecule: long non-coding RNA, 399 nt
Filed under: Hordeum vulgare
Lineage: Eukaryota; Viridiplantae; Streptophyta; Magnoliopsida; Poales; Poaceae
Description: long non-coding RNA (HVUL_LNC002066)
Source: RNAcentral